UACGGGGGGUGCGAGCGUUGUCCGGAAUCACUGGGCGUAAAGCGCACGUAGGCGGCUCGGUAAGUAGGGGGUGAAAUCCUGCGGCUUAACCGCAGGGCUGCCUUCUAAACUGUCGAGCUUGAGCACGGUAGAGGCAGAUGGAAUUCCCGGUGUAGCGGUGGAAUGCGUAGAGAUCGGGAAGAACAUCAGUGGCGAAGGCGGUCUGCUGGGCCGUUGCUGACGCUGAGGCGCGACAGCGUGGGGAGCAAACAGG
RNAcentral lists this ribosomal RNA (253 nucleotides) under uncultured bacterium. RNAcentral's name for it is "partial 16S ribosomal RNA". It matches the Rfam family "Bacterial small subunit ribosomal RNA", at positions 524 to 776 of the family's 1533-position model. The record is from RNAcentral.